This is a long non-coding RNA of Neofelis nebulosa (Clouded leopard), 1211 nucleotides long. RefSeq lists it as uncharacterized. NCBI's taxonomy places the organism in Eukaryota, Metazoa, Chordata, Mammalia, Carnivora, Felidae. The record is from RefSeq and is a predicted model, not a curated record. The transcript is spliced from 2 exons.
CGCUGUCCUGUAAACAGGAAAAAGAACACCGACCCCAGGGGAGGCUAAGUACCAUUUGAGACUGUGGGGAAGGCAGCCUGAGGUUGAAACCAAAGCACAGAGAAGAGCAGAGCGUCCAGAAAUGCGGAGAACCGGCACCAAGGUCCUGACCAAACUCUGGACUUUUCAGUUGUGUGAGCAUUUGAGAACCACUGGGCUAGAGGAAAAAUCUGAAACUACUGACUGAGGAGCGAAAGAGCCUGGUGAUCCAAGAGCAGGACUGAAGUCCAAGUGAAGAUGAAGGUGAAUCAUGCAUCCCAGAUGUGCUGGGAGCGGCCAUGGAAGCGACGGCCGUGGAAGGGGUAGAGUGCUACGGAUUCAGCAACGAACUCUCCAGAACUGACAUCUCCUUCAACCGGUGUCCGUCUGUUCAACCUGAUGUCCCUAGUCUCCUGGUCAGUGCCAGCAGGGUGCAUUUCGGCUGCAAUCUCAUUGAGGGCUCUAAACGUUUUUAAAUGCCCUCUUCUCUCACGGAAGUUGGGUAUUUAUUCUUUCCUAUUGCCAACCCUAAGAUGUCAUGCUUACUUUCUCUCAAGUUUCUUUACAUUUCUGAAUUUCUAGAUUUCCUUUUUGGCAGAAUUUAGCCCAGAAUAACAGGGUUCCUUGUGAGCCUGUGAGUAACCCAAGCAAAGAAUUUAUCAAGCCUCUCUGAUAUGCCCGGGCAAAAGCUGUGGCAUAGCUCAGGAAAGACAGGUGCAAUAAUAAAGAUGUUGAUAAAAUUCUUUGGAACUGUCCCACUAGGCUUGCUUCUGAUUCUGGAAGGCUCCGUCCCUCUGUGCUUGACUCACCCUCACUUCAGAACAAGGAAGCACCCUGGUCAUUAUGAACUUUCACCACUGACCACGAAAUUCCAGCCAUGGCUCCUGAGAUGCCUACCCAGCUACUGUCUGUGCUCAGCCCCCCAUGGCUAGUCCGUUUCAGAAUGUUCUCACAUCCCCUCGCUCCACAAUGGCUCUGUCCAAGCAGAAAGGGAAUUGAUGCAAGGCCCCACUAGAAUCUUUGAGGAAAACUGGACUUGCGCCUUUAUUUUCAUAAUUAGCACAGACACCACUUUGUGUGCCUCAAUUUACCUCUACGUCCCAUUCCUAUGGGAUAUGAAAACUCAUUUAAAUAUGGUACUGGUAUACACUGACAAGUAUCAGAUGACGUUAAUAAAUCUCUACCUCUCCUUU